UUCAAGAUUGAGUAAACUGUCCCUCUAAGAGGUCAGGUGACCUGACAAAAAUGAUACAAGUGAACUAGGAUUGGACUCCAGCCACAGAGGAAACAAACAGCACAAACACCAACAAGAAAUAAAGGCCCCAAGAAGGUUAACGCAGAUACAUCAAAGGAGAGAAAAGACAUUAUACAGAAGAAAGUCGUUACAACUUGAGAUGUCUCAAAAUCUCAUCAUACAUCUAAACUCCUCAGCUGCAUAUGUAUCAAUUUGGAUUUUCUUAUUUAUAUAAUGAGUUGACAAGCUCCUGGGGACCACCAGAAUCUGGGUCUGUUAAUUAUCUAAUAUAAUUAUGGCAAGAAACAUCUGUGCCUUUUCUCCUGCCCCACACGAGUAGAAACACGCACUUACACAGUAGGACCUAGAGGUAAUGCCUAGCUUCAGUAGACCUCUUGCAACCACAAGGCUACAAGCCGGAGACAGCAAGUGAAGCACACUCAGGAGAGAGGAGCAAUUAGUCAGAGGAGCCUGGGGUCUUGAUCACAUCUUGAACAGCUGCACCAGUCCCAGUUUUCCUUUCUGGACUUUUAGUUAUGUGGGGAAGAUAACAUAGAAAGAUAACAUAAUCUCUAUGUUAGGCCAAGGUGUUUUGUUUUUUUUUUUAAGUCAAUUCCUAAUAUUGCUACCAAGUGGUGGAGUUGAGAUUUAAAUCUGUCUCCCUGACUCCAAAUCCCAUAUUAUUUCACUUUGCUAUACUCUCUUUCCAUAUCACAUAGUUUUAGAUCAAAUUCAAUAAUUCCAAUGUGAAUAUAAAGCAAAACACCAAAUGACACAAAAAAGGAGACAGCCAUAUUCUAGAGUUAGGUGAUAAGCUGUGCCUUGUCUGCUCAGGUUUUCCGAUGGGUAGGAUAAAUUUAGCAGUGGUGGAAUGAUCAGCGACGGCUUCAUGGAUGGGGAAGCCUGCAUGCUAAGCCUCAAUGAUUAGGUAGAACUUAGAUUCUCGGAGAGGAGAUGGCACAAGGUGAUGCCAUCUAGAGUCAUCUAGAAAAGAGACUGGCAUCAUUGGUGAAGGGGAAUCAUGAGAACAUUUUCCCUCUCACUCUCCUCUCUUUACCUUGAUGAUGUUCAGUUAGAAAAUCCACUGGACUUCUUCUUUUUAAUUCUUUGGCAAAGAGUUUGAGAAGUGAAUGCAUCAUAAUUGGUAAAGGUCAAAAAGUAGGAACAGGUGGAAGAAGGAAGUGUCCUCUGGCAACCAACAGCACUGUUGAUGUAAGAUAGGCAGUGGAGACAACUUGAGAUGGGUGGGUCACGGUAGGUUCCUUUUUGUCUUCUCAUUGAUUUCUCACAUGCACUGGGUGAAAGCUCCCCUGUUCUUACACCAAGAUGUGAUGCUGCUGUCAGGAAGGCCCAUGGCAAUCCUAAGAAUUAGGCACAAGUUUUGACAAGUGGUGAGUGAGUGCCAGCAUGUUGAGCUACUUGAAGAGCUUUUAAAAUAACUACCUUAAAUUUAUUUGAUGUGUCUGAAGAGAUUUGGCAUCCAGCAGAGUCUUCACUGGCUUCACUGCUUCCUUUUGGAAUCAUAAAUUUCUUCUGAGGGUGCACUGGAGGGACAGGGAGUAGUCUUCAGCUCCUUCUCCAUUUCCUAAAUCAAUUAUUUUCCCGAACAGAUAAGAGCUGAGUACAGUAUCACUGUCUUUAGAUGGCCUUGUCAAAAAGACCUGCCAAAAUCAAGUGCAUUUAAGACGUGUCCUCAAAACUUUUGUAACUUUAUAUACACAUUUACAUGGAAAUGUUUAGCUAAUUCUUAAAAUGUUUAUAAACUGGUUAUUCAUGUUUUAUAGAAUGAACAAACUUAGCUAUAAGUGGUCUCCUGAACGGUAUUUAGAACUAAUUUUCCUGUAGUACAUUUUGCCUUGAUAUAAGUGUUAUUUGGGUUUUCCCUAAAUUGCUUUUAUGUCACAAUUCCAUGUACUACCUAAAAAUACCAGAGUAAGAGUCUUAUUUUUAGACUAAGCUGUGUUGACUGUUGAAAUUAAAACAAGCUGGAAAACUAGAGAGACAAAGGCACACAGGUAAGAAGCAACAUGACAUCUUAGGGGAAAUUCAAGCAGUUUUCAUUAUUAAUAACUGGUAUUUUGUAAUAUGUCUAGUGCUGAUAGCUAAUGAUUUUGUUUCAUUCUAUUUAUCAUAUCUGUGGAUGAUCCAAUGGAGGAUUAUCCAUAGACAGUCCCUGUUCUCUCAGAGGUGUCAGGAUAAGCAUCACCGUUUUAGUCUGGUUUUCUCAGUAUUGCUCAGAGGAAUUACACAGGAGGAAACUGUAAUUCUCAUUCUGUCUUCUGACAGUAUUUACCUGCUGCUGCAGGGCAACAUAUUUACUCAUUUGUGCAUGUGUUCCAUCAGUGCUUCUCAAACAGCUACUCUGUGCCAGGCACUGUGCUAGGCCCUAAGGGUACCUGGAUGAAUAAGUCACAGAGGCUACCUUGGAGGAAUUCACCAUCUAGUGGAGGAGACAAAACUUGAAUGCAAAUAUCGACAACAGCAGUUGGCAUUGAGAUAAUUAAUGAAAACCACUUAGCCCAGUAUGUGGAGCCUAGAAGGCACUCAGUAAGUGAUAGUUGUUUUUAAGAACUAUUAGGUUCAUAGGCGGAAGCAACACAUCUAUCUGUGGAGCAUCAUGGAAGGCUUCCUGUUAAAAGUGAUUUUUUUCCUCUGAACCUCACUUUCCAUUCAUACAAAACAAUGGGAUUUAGACUAAACUCCCAGUGACCUCAGAGAGUAUUUCCUGCUAUACCAAUCUACAGAUAUGGUAUGGUUUAGGGUGGAAAGAGUGGUGGUGCACAGUAAAGGGUUCAUUCAUCAGCCCUGUGUCCCCCAAAUCCUGCAUAUUCUGAAGAUCUUCAGAACUGACCCUCAAUAAUCUCCCAGAAAAACACCUCUGAGUCCUUGGAAUACCUGCCUAGUAAGAGUGUCUUUGGAUACCUGAGGCCUUGGACCAUAUGUUUGUGCUUAUGAUCUUAUCCGUGUUGAAUGCUUAUUUUUGUGUGCCUGGGCUUUGGGCUAUACAGUAUCAAUUUGACAUCUGGGAGGCUGAAGUCUGAGUAGCUGAGGUCAGUCACACAGAUGCUCUAUCCAUAUGUGACUAAUCCCCCGAUAAAAAUCCUGGGCACCAAGUCUUGGGUGAGAUUCCCUAGUUGAAAAUACUCUAUACAUAUUGCCACAUAUCAUUGCUGGGAGUAUUAAAUUCCCAGUUGUGGCCACACAACUUCACUGAGAGAGGACAACUAGAAUUGUGUACCUAAUCUCUCCUGGACUCCAUGCAAUAAACCUUCUUCCUUUGCCAAUUUGAAUCUGUAUUGUUCCACUGUAAUAAACUAUGUAACCAUGAUUAUAACCAUUUUUGUGAGUUCUGUGAGUCUUUCUAGGAAAUCACUGAACUUGAAUGUGAUCUUGGAGAGCCCAAACACAGGAGGAACAGAUUGGAAAGUAAAAAAUCAAGGGAGAUUAAACAAAUAUGAGAAGGAAUCAUCCACCUAGAACAGACACAAGGACAACAAAUAAGAAAUCUGUAGCAGAGAUUACACAAUUAUGUUGGAAAUUGCAGGAUGAAGGGGAGACCAGAGGAACAAAAGGGAGUCGAAGCACUAUUCCCAGAUGGGAUACCGUAUCUGUCUCCUGUGAUCCUGAGGAAUCUACAGAGAAGAGAUUUUCCAGACAAACAGGACAGGAUUGGCAUUAUCAGAUGAUUGAAUGCUCCUCUGCCAGUCUCUCCACUGCACUGUUGGAGCCUCACCUAAAGUGUAUC
Microcebus murinus (gray mouse lemur) is the source of this 3784-nucleotide non-coding RNA. The record is from RefSeq and is a predicted model, not a curated record. NCBI's taxonomy places the organism in Eukaryota, Metazoa, Chordata, Mammalia, Primates, Cheirogaleidae.